Molecule: ribosomal RNA, 495 nt
Filed under: uncultured bacterium
Lineage: Bacteria
Description: partial 16S ribosomal RNA
Rfam family: Bacterial small subunit ribosomal RNA
Source: RNAcentral
GACGAACGCUGGCGACGUGCCUAAUACAUGCAAGUAGAACGCUGAAGGAGGAGCUUGCUCUUCUGGAUGAGUUGCGAACGGGUGAGUAACGCGUAGGUAACCUGCCUGGUAGCGGGGGAUAACUAUUGGAAACGAUAGCUAAUACCGCAUAAUAGUAGAUGUUGCAUGAUAUUUACUUAAAAGGUGCAAUUGCACCACUACCAGAUGGACCUGCGUUGUAUUAGCUAGUUGGUGGGGUAACGGCUCACCAAGGCGACGAUACAUAGCCGACCUGAGAGGGUGAUCGGCCACACUGGGACUGAGACACGGCCCAGACUCCUACGGGAGGCAGCAGUAGGGAAUCUUCGGCAAUGGACGAAAGUCUGACCGAGCAACGCCGCGUGAGUGAAGAAGGUUUUCGGAUCGUAAAGCUCUGUUGUAAGAGAAGAACGAGUGUGAGAGUGGAAAGUUCACACUGUGACGGUAUCUUACCAGAAAGGGACGGCUAACUACGUG